This 450-nucleotide ribosomal RNA is filed under the name uncultured bacterium. RNAcentral describes it as "partial 16S ribosomal RNA". It matches the Rfam family "Bacterial small subunit ribosomal RNA", at positions 354 to 796 of the family's 1533-position model. The record is from RNAcentral.
GUGGGGAAUAUUGGACAAUGGGCGAAAGCCUGAUCCAGCCAUGCCGCGUGUGUGAAGAAGGUCUUCGGAUUGUAAAGCACUUUAAGUUGGGAGGAAGGGCAGUAAGUUAAUACCUUGCUGUUUUGACGUUACCGACAGAAUAAGCACCGGCUAACUUCGUGCCAGCAGCCGCGGUAAUACGAAGGGUGCAAGCGUUAAUCGGAAUUACUGGGCGUAAAGCGCGCGUAGGUGGUUCAGCAAGUUGACGGUGAAAUCCCCGGGCUCAACCUGGGAACUGCCUCCAAAACGGGAGGAGUAGAGUACGGAAGAGGGUAGUGGAAUGUCCUGUGGAGCGGUGAAAUGCGUAGAUAUAGGAAGGAACACCAGUGGAGAAGGCGACUACCUGGACUGAUACUGACACUGAGGUGAGAAAGCGUGGGGAGCAAACAGGAUUAGAAACCCGGGUAGUCC